UGGGGAAUAUUGCACAAUGAGCGAAAGCCUGAUCCAGCAAUGCCGCGUGUGUGAAGAAGGCCUUCGGGUUGUAAAGCACUUUUGUCCGGAAAGAAAUCCUUGGCUCUAAUACAGUCGGGGGAUGACGGUACCGGAAGAAUAAGCACCGGCUAACUACGUGCCAGCAGCCGCGGUAAUACGUAGGGUGCAAGCGUUAAUCGGAAUUACUGGGCGUAAAGCGUGCGCAGGGCGGGUUUGCUAAGACCGAUGUGAAAUCCCCGGGCUCAACCUGGGAACUGCAUUGGUGACUGGCAGGCUAGAGUAUGGCAGAGGGGGGUAGAAUUCCACGUGUAGCAGUGAAAUGCGUAGAGAUGUGGAGGAAUACCGAUGGCGAAGGCAGCCCCCUGGGCCAAUACUGACGCUCAUGCACGAAAGCGUGGGGAGCAAACAGGAUUAGAUACCCUGGUAGUCCACGCCCUAAAGCGAUG
This 467-nucleotide ribosomal RNA is filed under the name uncultured bacterium. RNAcentral describes it as "partial 16S ribosomal RNA". It matches the Rfam family "Bacterial small subunit ribosomal RNA", at positions 355 to 811 of the family's 1533-position model. The record is from RNAcentral.